Molecule: long non-coding RNA, 111 nt
Organism: Strigops habroptila (Kakapo)
Lineage: Eukaryota; Metazoa; Chordata; Aves; Psittaciformes; Psittacidae
Exons: 3
Source: RefSeq, a predicted model, not a curated record
GUGAGGUCUCACGAGAGCAGAUCUGAGGGGCAAAAUCACCUCCCUCCAUCUGCUGGCCACGUUCCUUUUGAUGCAGCCCAGGAUACAUUUGGUUUUCUGAGUUGCAAGUGC